This is a long non-coding RNA of Tympanuchus pallidicinctus (lesser prairie-chicken), 902 nucleotides long. RefSeq lists it as uncharacterized. The transcript is spliced from 3 exons. The record is from RefSeq and is a predicted model, not a curated record. NCBI's taxonomy places the organism in Eukaryota, Metazoa, Chordata, Aves, Galliformes, Phasianidae.
CUCAUAUGGGACCAGGAAAUGGUGGUGGAUUCUCAUAUGGGACCAUAAGGACCAGGAGAUGGGUGGUGGGGACUCAUAUGGGACCAUAUGGGAGCUCACAUGGAACCAUAUGGACCGGGAGCUGAUGGUGGAUUCUCAUAUGGCACCAGCAGAUGGAGUUGGGGGCUCACAUGGGACCGUAUGGACCAGCAGAUGGUGGUGGGUUCUCAUAUGGGACCAUAAGGACCAGGAGAUGGUGGUGGGUUCUCAUAUGGGACCAUAUGGACCGGGAGCUGGUGAUGGGUUCUCCUACGGGACCAGCAGAUGGUGGUAGGGGCUCCCAUGGGAUCAUUUGAACUGGGAGUGGUGGUGGGUUCUCAUAUGGGACCAGAAGAUGGCGAUGGGAGCCAAUAUGGAACCGUAUGGACCAAGAGAUGGUGAGGGGAGUUUCGUAUGAGACUAUACGGACUGCAAGAUGGUGGUGGGGGCUCAUAUGGGACCAUAUGGACCAGGAGACGCUGGUGGAUUCCCAUUUGGGACCAGAAGGUGGUGGUGGGUUCCGUAUGGUUCCAGUAGCAGCAGGAGAUGGUGGUGGGGGCUCAUAUUGGACCGUAACGACCAGGAGAUGGUGGUGGGUGUCCAUAUGGGACCUGAAGGACCACGAGAUGCAGUGGGUUUUCAUAUGGGACCUUAAGGACCAGGAGAUGGUGGGGGGGGCUCAUAUGGGACCAUAUGGACCGGGAGAUGGUGGUGGAUUCCCAUUUGGGACCAGAAGGUGGUGGAGGGUUCCAUAUGGCUCCUGUAGCACCACGAGGUGGUGGAGGGGGGGCUCAUAUUGGACAACAAGGACCAGGAGAUGGUGGUGGGGGCUCAUAUGGGACCUUAAGGACCAGGAGAUGGUGGUGGGACCUCAUAGGGGACCU